AUUGAACGCUGGCGGCAUGCCUUACACAUGCAAGUCGAACGGCAGCACAGGUACUUCCUCCUGUUGCCGGGUGGCGGUGGGGUGCGUGAUAGAUAGGCACCUGAACUGUCUUUUGGGUUGGGGAGGACGAAGGGGGAUUUAUACCACAUCCGCUCUCCGGCUGCGGGUGGAAGCCGUGCAGCUUUCGACCUUUCGGGUUUGCAUGUGGCGAUGUCGGAUUAGCUAGUUGGCGGGGUAAAGGCCCACCAAGGCGACGAUCCGGAGCUGGUCUGAGAGGAUGAUCAGCCACACUGGAACUGAGACACGGUCCAGACUCCUACGGGAGGCAGCAGUGGGGAAUAUUGGACAAUGGGCGCAAGCCUGAUCCAGCCAUACCGCGUGGGUGAAGAAGGCCUUCGGGUUGUAAAGCCCUUUUGUUGGGAAAGAAAAGCAGCAGGUUAAUACCCCGCUGUUCUGACGGUACCCAAAGAAUAAGCACCGGCUAACUUCGUG
This 492-nucleotide ribosomal RNA is filed under the name uncultured bacterium. RNAcentral's name for it is "partial 16S ribosomal RNA". It matches the Rfam family "Bacterial small subunit ribosomal RNA", at positions 30 to 507 of the family's 1533-position model. The record is from RNAcentral.